GGAAGGACGCCCGCAAGGUUACGUUGGCGAACAGGCUAUUAUUUCCCCUUCGAUGCGCACAGUCCGCUCUGCCAUUGGUCAGCUCUGCCAGAAAGGGGAGGGACUCGAGUCCAAGAAUCUUAAUAGAAAAACUCCAGACUGACAGGACGAAAGAAAGGGUGACAGUUCGAAAAAGACAGAGGACAAGGACGCUUUUACCCGGAAACUGUCUCCUCAGAAUAUUUUGAAAUUUUGCAGUUCUGUACAUCCACACUUUAAAGCCAGAUAAGUGUGCUUUUCUGGAUAAUUUUCUGGUGUUUUGUGAACUUUAUCUGAAGACAACUCAAUUGCCUCGACCGGGAAUGUUGUGUCCAGGUAGACAUUGUCAGAGACACAACGGAGACUGAUUUUAAUGAAGCAUGAUACCAGCGGUUGUCCAUUCUUGCAAACACUACAGUACAACCUACUAUCAAGACAUAUCGGGCUGCCUGUACCGCGAAAGCGGAGAGUUUAUUCGUCCCGGACCGGCAUAACUUGCCUAACGCUGUUAACUUUUUUACAUUUUCGUUGAUGAGGUGAAGCGGGAUAAAAAAAAUAUACAUGGUGCAGCUCGGCAGUUCCACUGGGAUGCGUCAAUUGCAUCCCCAAGCAGUUCAAUGGCGCUGUAAAGCUCGGAGAAUUGCCAGCCAUUCAUGGCGGGAAGAAAGCGCUUCUAUUUCACGACAUCAGAGGAAGAAAUAAACGAAACAUACGUGGACACCUGCUCAUCGAAUAUCUCAUUCCAAAAUCAUGGGCAUUAAUAUGGAGUUGGUCCCCCCCUUUGCUGCUAUAACAGCCUCCACUCUUCUGGGAAGUCUUUCCACUAGAUGUUGGACCAUUGCUGUGGGGACUUGCUUCCAUUCAGCCGCAAGCAUUAUUAAGGUCGGCAGGGUAGCCUAGUGGUUAGAGCGUUGGACUAGUAACCGGAAGGUUGUGAGUUCAAACCCCCGAGCUGACAAGGUACAAAUCUGUCGUUCUGCCCCUGAGCAGGCAGUUAACCCACUGUUCCCAGGCCGUCAUUGAAAAUAAGAAUGUGUUCUUAACUGACUUGCCUGCUUAAAUAAAGGUAAAAUUAAAAUAAAGUUAGGGCUCUGUGCAGGCAAGUCAAGUUCUUCCUCACCAAUCUCGACAAACCAUUUCUGUAUGAACCUUGCUUUGUGCACGGAUGCAUUGUCAUGCUCAAACAGGGAAGGGCCUUCCCCAAACUAUUGCCACAAAGUUAGAAGCACAGAAUCGUCUAGAAUGUCAUUGUAUGCUGUAGCGUUAAGAUUUCCCUUCACUGGAGCGAAGGGGAAUAGCCCGAACCAUGAAUAACAGCCCCCAGACCACUAUUCCUCCUCCACCAAACUUUACAGUUGGCACUAUGCUUUCUGGCAGGUAGCGUGAUUCAUCACUCCAAAGAAUGCAUUUCCACUGCUCCAUAGUCCAAUGGUGGCGAGUUUUACACCACUCCAGCCUAACACUUGGCCUUGCGCAUGGUGAGCUUAGGCUUGUGUGCAGCUGCUUGGUCAUGGAAACCUAUUUCAUGAAGCUCCCAAAAAAUAGUUAUUAUGCUUACGUUGCCUCCAGAGGCAGUUUGGAACUCAGUAGUGAGUGUUUCUACAGAAGACAUGAUUUUUACGAGCUUCAGCACUCGGAGGUCCCGUUCAGUGAGAUUGUGUAGCCUACCACUUAGCAGUUGAGCCGUUGUUGCUCCUAGACGUUUCCACUUCACAGUAACAGCACAUCCUAUUGACUGGGGCAGCUCUAGCAGGGCAAAAAUGUGACUACCUGACAUGUUGGAAAGGUGGCAUCCUAUGACGGUACCACUUUGAAAGCCACUGAGCUCUUCAGUACAGGGCAUUCUACUGUCAAUGUUUUGCUAUUGAGAUUGCAUGGCUGUGUGCUCAAUCUUAAACACCUGUCAGCAAUGGGUGUGGCUGAAAUAGCCGAAUGCACUAAUUUCAAGGGGUGUCCACAUACUCUCUGACUACCUGACAUGUUGGAAAGGUGGCAUCCUAUGACGGUACCACUUUGAAAGCCACUGAGCUCUUCAGUACAGGGCAUUCUACUGUCAAUGUUUUGCUAUUGAGAUUGCAUGGCUGUGUGCUCAAUCUUAAACACCUGUCAGCAAUGGGUGUGGCUGAAAUAGCCGAAUGCACUAAUUUCAAGGGGUGUCCACAUACUCUUGUAGUGUAUAAGCUUUGACUUCAUUUAGGUUAGAGGGUGUCCUGUCUCCAUGGUUUACAAUGUUAAAGGCAAUGUUGAAUAUAUUGCCUUUCCCCUCAAUUCACCAGGAGAGGGCAGACUAGCCUUGCAGAUCACACAUUGUGUAGGAAGUGCCAUAUAAUUACAGCAUUAAAUACUGUAUUAUCAAAGACAAUCUAUUAUAUAGACAAGAUAGUCAAGUGACUGCUCUUACCAUGGAAAUACAUGUCCUCAAAGAUGGAAUGCAGGUGGGAGGCGAGAUCAGGUGGGACAAUUCCAACCUGAACUAAGUCGUGCGGGAAUUCCACGUGAAUCCACUUAUAUCAGUACAUUUGUAGCAGCCUAAACAUUACGAAACGUGUAUCAGAUUAAAUAAACCUCACGUAAUUCAUAUCUGUCUCAGACCUCCAUACAAAACAAUCCCCACUUGGUUUUAUCACACGACCAUAUUUGGGGCAGAUUAAAUCCUCUCGCUUUGCCUCAUCUCUGAUAUUAUUCGGAAUACUAUAGGCUUUAUUCCACAUUGAACACUGCUUUUCUCCCCUCUUUCCUUUGACUCACCAUUGCAGGUUUGAAAAGACUGCAGAGAUUUAAGCAGGGUGUGCUCCAGCUAUUCAAAUAGGGUACAGGUGAAAGUGUUUGUGUUAGUGUGUGUGCUUCGUAAACAUAAGUCAAAAUAUGUUUUUUCAUCUAUUAUUGAGUAUAAUUAAUAAAGGCUUGUUGUGUAAUGAAUAAUGUGUGUGAUUGUCUCAAUGAGAGUAAAACAUUAAUGCGUUUGCUAUCAUCCUCAAAACUCUUGCGGUGCUGUUGGUCUCUCUUGAACUGUUUAUGGGAUUCACAUGCUUUCUCUCUAUUCCAAACGUUAUAUCACUCCUUCUCUCUCUCUGCCACAAGGAACUGAAACGUAGAGCAACAUAGAGCUGACCUGGUUAUUUCUGUGGUCAAUGAAAGAGCUAGCUGACCAACCUGCCUCACUCACACAUUCAGUGCCUUUAGAAACUACUCUCACCAUUUGACAUAUUGCAAAUUUUGUUGUGUUACAGCCAGAAUUAAAAUGGAUUACAUUUAGAUUUGUUUUCACUGGCCUACAGACAACAAAUUAAUUGGAAUUAUGUUUUUUCAAAUGUUUACUAAUUGUUUUUUUUAAAUGAAGCUGAAAUGUCUUGAGUCAAUAAGUAUUCAAUUUUUUAAUGACUACCUUAUCUAUGUACCCCACACAUACAAUUAUUUGUAAGGCCAUCAUUUGAGCAGUGGAUUUCAAACACAGAUUCAAUCACAAAGACCAGGGAGGUUUUCCAGUGCCUCGCAAAGAAGGACAGCUAUUUGUAGAUGGGUAAAAACAUUUUUUUAAAGCAGACAUUGAAUAUCGCUUUGUGCAUGGUGAAAUUAUUAUUUACACUUUGGAUGGUCUAUCAAUAUAUCCAGUCACUACAAAGAUACAGGCGUCCUUCCAAACUCAGUUGCCGAAGAGGAAGGAAACCGCUCAGGAAUUUACCAUAAGGUAAUAGUGAUUUUAAAACUGUUACAGUCUUCUUAGGGCUGAGAUCCUGCUAACGGGAUCGAUAUGACAACAGCCAGUGAAAGUGCAGGGCGCCAAAUUCAAAACAACAGAAAUCCCAUAAUUAAAAUUCCUCAAACAUAGAAGUAUUUCACACCAUUUUAAAGAUACACUUCUUGUUAAUGUCUGAUUUCAAAUAGGCUUUAUGGCAAAAGCACCACAAACGAUUAUGUUAGGUCAGAGCAAAGUUGCAGAGAGGAGUCACAAAAAUCAGAAGUAGAGAUCAAAUGAAUCACUAACCUUUGAUGAUCUUCAUCAGAUGACACUCAUAGGACGUCAUGUUACACAAUACAU
Oncorhynchus masou masou (cherry salmon) is the source of this 4057-nucleotide long non-coding RNA. RefSeq lists it as uncharacterized. The transcript is spliced from 3 exons. Lineage: Eukaryota; Metazoa; Chordata; Actinopteri; Salmoniformes; Salmonidae. The record is from RefSeq and is a predicted model, not a curated record.